RNAcentral lists this long non-coding RNA (11527 nucleotides) under Setaria viridis. Its description in RNAcentral is "long non-coding RNA (SVIR_LNC009695)". Lineage: Eukaryota; Viridiplantae; Streptophyta; Magnoliopsida; Poales; Poaceae. The record is from RNAcentral.
CAUACGAGCUGCACCCGACGCCCGAAGAGGAAGCUGUAGCGGAUCUACACCACGCCGAAGUCGAGCCCGUGCUAGAGCAAGCCGAGGACCAGUUCGCUAACUCCGAGUGUGAAGGCAAGCCCCGGAUCAUAAAUUCCUAUGUUUAAAUACUUGCAAUAUAUUGGUUGUUUUGAUUAUGCAUUUACGUUUAUAGGAAUUGAUUGAAACCAUAGAUGCAUGAAUAUAGUGCCCCUUGAUCUGAACACUAGUAUAAGAAGUCGAGUAGUUGCAAUGCUAAAUAGGACUCGGUAAAAGUCGAGUGAUUUCCUGUCACUCGCGAGUUAUAGGAGUUGAAUGAUUUUUCUUUUCAUUGCAACUAUAAGGAUGAUGGACGGGGCUGGGCUUAUGUUGGUACUCGGUGGUUUGCCCCGUCUGUCUACUUGAAAUUGGACUAAGGUCGAAAGGUGAUGGUGUUCGUGAUCAAGUGUUUGAAAGUACUAAUCUCAUACCUAGUAUGGGAUGGGGAAGCCUAGUACCUGAUUGAACUGGGACGUGGCUUAUACCCCUGCUGUCCUUGGAACGUCGUUCCCAUGGUGCAUCAUGUGGGUGCAAUGGCGGUCAUAGUACGGUAGAGACCGGGACUGUGGAGCAUUGCAUGCCAAAGGAAGUUUGGACCUGACACGUACCUAGGGAUCGAUGGGGACGGCUGACAAGUGAAGCGACCCUUCGUGGUGCGCGGAUGUCGUGGGAUUAGGUUCGCCAUGCAUGGUUAAUAAAUUCGAAUCGAUUCGUCUGCCUCUCACAGUGUGGGACUACUUGAUCGCUAUGCUACACUGAGUAAGAAUGAAAGAUGAUGAUGAUAUAAUAUUGUUACUUGUUAUUAAUUGCUUGGAAAACUAUGCUUGUUUAGUAUAGUUGCUAACUUAGAAUGAUAAACAACAGUAGAACUGGUGGCUAAAAUGUUGAAAGUAAGGACCUACACUAGUCGCUUUUGGCAAAACAAAACCCAGAGCCAAAAAGCUUACAUGUCUAGGUGUUAGUGGAUUAGUACCACAGGUCGGUUAAGUCUUGUUGAGCAUAGUUGCUCAGCCUUGUUUGUGGCACCUCUUUUCAGGUGAGGAUGAUGUUUCUGAGUUCGCUGCUAGUUCUGCUUGGUCUACCCAACUCCCUCCGGGUUGGACGGUCGAGUGGGACCCCUCCUCGGACGGCGAGGACAGGGGUCAGUGAUGUCAUGAUCGGCUUCUUCAUGAUAUCGUGCAUCGACGUUUAGUUUCCGUUCAUUUUAUUUCCGCUGCUUGAACACUCUACAAACUAUGUUUGAAUUUCUGAACUUUAUGUUGUAAUAAAUCGGUGCACUUUGUUUGGAUGGACUGUUGUAAUCUCUGUAACCACUCACCAUCGUGUGAGUUUUGCUUUCUCGAUCCUGCGUUACGUGGUUUUAUCGGAGGAAAUCCGACGGACGACCAAGUUGACUUGUUUAAAGUACAUGAUCGCGUUUAGGCGACUUAAGUGUGCUUUAGCCAAGUUAAUUUAGGCGGUUCCGCCACAGCUGGUACCAGAGCUUGAAAGCAUGACAGAGAAAACAACAGACCUUAAAUAUCUUUUCUAAAAUAAAACUUGCAAGAAAUUAGUUUGAAAAUUUCGUACGAUCGUUAAGGAUGAACUUAGUACGAGAAGCCCUAGGGGAAUUUUUGGGUUAUUUAAGGUGGCUAUUAGCUAUUGGUUAUUUUACUGACUUCCAGCACUUUUGCCCACGUGUAUUAUACGUGCGCAGAGUUCCGCAUCGUGAGUAUGCGAGGGGUGAUAGGAAGUUCUAUUCAAAAGAACCUAUCAUCGCGGUUGUUUUCGCCCACGUUUAUUAUACGUGCGUAAGGUUCCGUAUGAUGAUUCAUGCGAAGGGUGGUAUGGUUCGAUUCCAACGAGCCUAUCAUCACGGUUGUUCGCCCACGUUUAUGAUACGUGCGCAUGAUUCCGCAUCACGAGUAUGCGAAGGGAUAUAUGGUCCUAUUCAAAGGGGCCUAUUUUCACGGUUGUUGCGCUGUCCAUGCAGCGUUAAACGCAUGGGUGCCAUUUCUAUAGUGAAUGGUAAUGAAUGGGGACGCUUUCGUGAGUGCUGGCACGAAAGGUUCAUGUGGUAUUGUGUUUUUCUGCAGGUACACUAACCACGUUCGCGUAGGAAAACGAUAUUAGAAACCCGACUAGAUACUAUAGGGAGCGAUGUAAUUGUUGCCUUGCCACCGGCACUAAUCACGUAAGUCCAAUUUUUGGCAAUUAUUUUGGUUGAGAGGACGAUGUAGGUCGUGCAUGCAUCAUGAACUAAAAUCCAUGAAACCGAACCUUUAAAUCGACCUUGCUCAUGUGUUUUAAGUUUUUUUUUUUUUUUUUUUUUCCGCGUUAAGGAUUUUCUAGCUGCCCUUUUCAGCAUGGUGUCUUAUAAAAAUCUUUUGGGUUGUUUCCAUGUGUUAUCUACAGAAACUUUAUAUAAGAAAAGUGUGUAAAAACGUUUUAUCAUGCCACUGGUAAAAUUUGGUAAUUUUUCCCAAAGGAUUUGCAAGCAAUGACAAAAAAAUUGUAACUCCUUAUUUCCUGGAAAUACAGUUUGUGCACCUGUUAUAGUCUUCCUGUUUCGACUCCCUUAAGGACAUUUUCUGCUAGGCACUGCUUAAGAAAAGCUGUAGAGCACUGUUUGAAGAACCUUGUGGUAAAUAUUCAGCUUAUUUAUAUCUCUGGUUUGGGAGUUAUGCUCAGUUUAUUGCCACACUGUCCCUGAAAAUUCCAUCAUGUGCCACCUGCCAAAGAUCUGAGUAUAUCACCCUGUUAGGAUCUGUUUUCACUCCACUUAUGAAUAUCAAACUUGUUACCAAUUAUCAGAAGGGAAUGUUGGUAAAAUUUGGGAAUUUUUGGAUGAGUACUUGUUGAGUUAUGACCUUUUUCUCUAGCCUACCAGAAUCUGUUUUCAUCCUGAGUUUUAAUCUCACGUUUCUUUUAUCACUCCUUGGUUCCAGAUGGCCGCUCCUGGGCACGUGAUACGUGGCACGGAUGGCACCUCCCACUCCACGUGCCUACACUUUGAGGGUUUUCCCGCUAUCUUGUGGGACACCUUGAGGUGGUUUGGGUACCAGUCGCCGCCUCUUUACGCGGGACGCGAGUACCUGGAGCAUGGGGUGCAAAGGUGCAGCGUGCGUGUGGUCGUACCUCCACCCCCAGUGCAGCCACAGUGGCCCCAGCUUGAGGUUUCGACAUAUGGUCAUACCCUCGAGGAUACUUGGGAGUCCGCUGCCCUGCAGGCCCUCACUCAGUUCUGCAGACUACACCCUUUCGAGGUCCUUUUGGAUCCGAUUGGCUUGUUCCCCGCUAGGGACAGGCUGGACGCAGACUGGCUUGAUAGGGUGAACAACAUGGAGGUGUUGGUCACCUCACACCCGCAGGUCACCCUCUCCACCGCAACGCGUUGUAUGAAUGCGUUGUACCGACUGGUCGAGCUCCAGGGGAGAGCUAUGGCUGUCUUGGCUCGGAUAGCUGUGGACACCCAGGAGCAUCUCAAUACCACCAAGAAAGAUUUGGUGGAACAGUCGUACCAGCUCAUCCAGAGGGGUAUACGAAUCUCUGACAUGGAGACCCGGAUCACCGAGCUAGAGGAGGAGGUGACAGAUAUGGAGCACGAUAUGGUAUUGCUUGCAGAGGAGAAGCUAGAGGUUGAGAUGGAGCUAGCUGUUGCUAAUGCGCACUUGGAUGAGCACCACGCCGAGCUCAAUGCCAUCCAUGCGCAGGAGCAGCAGGGGGAGAAUGACCCGAUGGAGGAGGAGGAGGAGGAGGAAGACCCCGAGGAGAUCGAGGGUGUCUCGAGCAUGGACUUCGAGGGCGUUCAGUCUCCGCCCCGAGUUGGUGACGCCCCUUCUCCGGUGCACAGCGCUUCCUCCGUGGGCAACUUAGAUGACUUCUAGGUUUUUGUUGUAGCGAGUUGGUCUUCUGUUGUUACUCCUCGGCAACCUAUAUUUUGGAUGGCGAUGUAAUAGGUUAGCCUCGAGUUGAGUACCCUUGCUGCCAUAGACUUGUUAUGUAUGCAUGGACAUGCUUUUGUCAUGACUGGCGAUGUAACCGAAAACUUGGCAGAAAUAUAGUUGCUGUUUGGUCUCAGUUUUAACCCUAUCUCCACUCACUUUUGAACUGAUUUUUAAAUACCAAAGCUGUGCAAAAACUUGUGUUCUAAUCGCUCGUAAAAUUUCAGCUCCUUUCGAUCUGUUAAACUCGUGUUAGAAGCCAAAACUUCACCGCUCAGAUUGCUGAAAAACAGCCGGACAACGACUCACUCAGCUCACUUUUCGAUCUCUUUAUCUUAUGUUUUGGUCAGUGAGCGUAAUACAAAAGUUGUGGCAUAUGAAAUGUGCUAACUACUGACCAAAGAUGAGAAACAAUGUGCAUACAGAAGAAGAGAUAUGCACCUACUCAACAAAAGGAUCUUAUUGUUGUUUUUCUCAGGAUCCGCAAGAUUUAUGUUUAUGAUCCCGCACAUAAUUUUUCCUUGUUUUUAAGCAAGCUUUCGAAUUAUGUGACUAAUGGAAAGAUACCCUCUUGCAGAUGGUGCGCACUGCGCGCUUAAGCUCGAUCCCAAGUGGUAGCGAGGAUAAUCGAGCACCUCCGCCACCACCGCCUCCCCCGCCUUCGCUAGAGGCGAUCUUGGCUGCACAGACAGAGCUCUUGCGACACAUCGUCCAAGGGCAGCAACACCAGCCUCAGGGAGGAAGGGGUCAUCAGCAGCCCCAGAUUGCUCGUUAUGAGGAUUUCUUAGGGACCCAGCCCCCGCUCUUCCGCAAGACUGAGGAUCCUCUCGAUGCUGAUGCAUGGAUUCACAUUCUGGAAUCCAAGUUCGAGCUUCUCACUACGCCUUGCACCGAUGACAACAAGGCACGGUUUGCAGCCCAGCAGCUGCGUGGUUCUGCCCGCCUCUGGUGGGACCACUACCACGCCAUGCUGCCGGCUGACCACAUCGUCAGCUGGGAUGAGUUCAAGACCGCUUUCAGAGGCCACCAUAUCCCUGAGGGCCUAAUGGAGCGCAAGCUCAAUGAGUUCCUGGCUCUCACCCAGGGAAGUCGCGACGUCCUGCAUUACGCGCAGGCCUUCAACGACCUAUGCCGCUAUGCCAGCUAUCACGCGGAUACGGAUGAGAAGAAGCGGGAUCGGUUCCGCAGGGGCUUGAGUCUCGAACUCAAGGAAAGGCUGAACCCCAUCAAAGUGGAUACCUACAAUGAGCUGGUGAAUCUGGCCAUUUCCCAGGAAGACUGCAUGAAGGCCCUCAAGGCCGACCUGAAGCGGAAAGCUCCCAUGAUAUCACCUAGCCCGCCUGCUCGGAAAUUCAGGAUGGUUCCCCCUUCAGCACCUCGCAGGCCCGCGCAGCCUGGGAGAUGGGUUGCUCGCCCUCCACCACCGGCAGCACCUCAUUUCCCCGGUUUCCAGCCGCAGGCGCCUCAGCGCAACCUUCCACCGCCGCCGCGCCCUGCAAAUGGUAACCGCUGCUUCACCUGCGGCAACGUGGGACACUUUGCCAAGGACUGCCCCAGAAACAAGAAUCAACGCCCCGGCCAGAGCAAUGCAAUGGUGAACAAGGGAAAGAAGCCCAAAGUACAAGUUCGUCAUGGCAGGCUAAACUUCACCAAUGUGGCAGAACUCCCAGAAGGCGCACCGGUGAUGACGGGUACAUUCCUUAUUCAUAAUCAACCAGUUUUGAUUUUAUUUGAUUCCGGAGCAUCUCAUAGUUUCAUCGGAAGUAAAACUGGUGCUAGAUGUGGGUUAAGGUUCUGUCACACCAAAGGGUCGUAUAUGAUCUCUACCCCAGGUGGGAAAAUAGCCUCAGAUCAAAUGAACCUCAAUGUACCUAUCAAGUUAGGAAGAACCCUCUUUAAGGAAAAUCUUAUUAUUCUCGGUCUAGAGGGAAUAGAUAUUAUCUUGGGUAUGGAUUGGAUGACUCAACACCGAGUAAUGCUAGAUAUCUCCGCCCGAGUUGUCCACAUAGACUCACCACUGUAUGGCACCUCCACUAUCCACUUACCCCACCGAGAGUGCAUAAACUCCUGUGCUUAUCCCAUGGUUGAGGCCCAACUGGAAGAUAUCCCCAUUGUUUGUGAGUAUCCAGAUGUAUUCCCGGAUGACCUGCCAGGCAUGCCACCUGACAGGGAUAUUGAGUUUGCUAUUGAGUUGCAACCAGGCACGGCACCAAUAUCCAAGAGGCCGUAUCGAAUGCCACCCGCAGAGCUGGCAGAACUGAAAACCCAAUUACAUGAACUGUUGGAAAAGGGUUUCAUUCGCCCAAGUACGUCACCUUGGGGCUGUCCAGCACUGUUUGUGAAGAAGAAGGACAAGAGUCUACGCAUGUGUGUGGACUACCGCCCUCUCAAUGCGGUGACGAUUAAGAAUAAAUAUCCAUUGCCCCGCAUUGAUGUCCUAUUUGAUCAGUUAGCUGGAGCCAGAGUAUUCUCCAAGAUAGACCUUCGCUCAGGCUAUCAUCAGAUCAAGAUCCGACCGUGUGACAUUCCCAAAACGGCUUUCUCCACACGGUAUGGACUCUACGAGUAUCUAGUUAUGUCGUUUGGGCUUACUAAUGCACCUGCUUAUUUCAUGUAUCUCAUGAAUUCGGUGUUUAUGCCCGAGCUGGACAAAUUCGUCGUGGUAUUCAUUGAUGACAUCCUAGUGUACUCGAAGAAUGAGAAGGAACAUGCCGAGCAUCUUCGCAUUGUUCUUCAACGCUUGAGAGAUCAUCAGCUGUACGCGAAGUUCUCCAAGUGUGAGUUCUGGUUGGAGAAUGUUAAAUUCUUGGGACACACUAUUUCUCGAGAUGGCAUUGCAGUCGACCCCAGCAAAGUGCAAGAGGUCAUGGACUGGAAGCCACCCACUUCGGUUCAUCAAAUCCGAAGCUUUCUUGGUCUAGCAGGCUACUAUCGGCGAUUCAUUCCGGAUUUCUCAAAAAUAGCUAAGCCUAUGACUGAGUUAUUGAAGAAAGGAGUCAAAUUCACAUGGAGUGACAAAUGUGAAGAAGCUUUCCACACCUUGAGAAGACUUUUAACCUCUGCUCCAGUCCUAGCUCAACCUGACACUACUAAGCCGUUUGACGUGUAUUGUGACGCCUCCGGCACUGGACUUGGGUGUGUUCUCAUGCAAGACAACCGAGCCAUUGCCUAUGCCUCACGAGCGUUACGGCCGCAUGAGCUGAAUUACCCGACACAUGAUCUGGAAUUGGCAGCCGUGAUUCAUGCCUUGAAGAUGUGGAGACACUAUCUUAUGGGCACUCAUUGCAAUGUCUACACUGAUCACAAGAGCCUCAAGUAUAUCUUUACUCAAGCGGAUCUUAACAUGCGUCAGAGAAGGUGGUUGGAAUUAAUUAAGGAUUAUGAUCUGGAAGUGCAUUAUCACCCCGGCAAAGCAAAUGUAGUUGCCGAUGCUCUCAGUCGCAAGGCCCAUUGCAAUUGUUUGUCGGCAACUAACUUCGCAGAAACCAUAUGUCAUGAGAUGGGAAAACUUAGUUUGGAAAUUAUUUCCCAUGGCACCUUAGGUCAUGUUUCCAUUGAAUCUACCUUAGAGGACCAAAUUGGGCUGAUACAAUUAGAAGAUGAGGAAAUAAAGCUAAUUAAGGAGAAAGUUGCACAGAGAGAUGAGGGGUAUAAACAUUUCCGACAAGAUGAGAAGGGAAUAGUGUACUAUGAGAACCGACUUGUUGUCCCAUCUAACCCUGACCUUAGGAAGCAAAUCCUGGAUGAAGCACAUCUCUCCAAGUUCUCGAUUCAUCCUGGCAGCAAUAAGAUGUAUCAUGACCUCCGUCAAACAUUUUGGUGGAGUGGAAUGAAACCGGAAAUUGCACGCUAUGUCUCGGAAUGCGACACGUGUCAACGUAUCAAGGCAAGCCACUUGAAGGUAGCAGGUACCUUGCAACCGCUACCUAUUCCAUCUUGGAAAUGGGAAGAUAUCAGCAUGGAUUUCAUUGUGGGAUUACCUGUUACUUCUCAGCGCCAUGAUUCUAUCUGGGUUAUAGUGGACCGUCUUACCAAGACGGCACAUUUCCUUCCUGUUCACACUACCUACACCGCUCGGAAAUAUGCAGAAUUGUAUCUUGACCGUAUUGUGUCCCUACAUGGUGUGCCGAAGACAAUCAUCUCUGAUCGAGGAGUUCAAUUCAUCGCACGCUUUUGGGAACAACUACAGUCCGCACUUGGCACUAAGCUAAUCCGUAGCUCAACAUAUCACCCUCAGACUGAUGGCCAAACAGAAAGAGUGAAUCAAAUUCUAGAAGACAUGCUACGUGCUUGCGUCAUACAUUAUGACAAGAAUUGGGAUAAAUGUUUGCCAUUAGCGGAAUUUUCCUAUAACAAUAGCUACCAAGCUAGCUUGAAAAUGGCACCAUUUGAAGCCCUAUAUGGUCGAAGGUGUCGAACACCUUUAAAUUGGUCACAAGCAGGAGAAAGACAAACCUACGGGCCUGAUCUAGUAGUUGAAGCCGAAGAGCAAGUUAAAAUAAUUCAGGCAAAUCUUAAAGCCGCCCAAUCACGACAGAAAAGCUAUUUUGACAAAAGGAGAAGGCCCUUACAGUUUGAUAUUGGUGAUCAUGUAUACCUCCGAGUCUCACCGACUAAGGGUGUACAACGGUUUGGGAUCAAAGGAAAAUUGGCUCCCCGAUACAUUGGUCCCUAUGAGAUCGUGGAAAUAUGCGGACCAGUCGCAUAUAGAGUUAAACUCCCUAACAGACUUUCAGCUAUACACGACAUAUUCCACGUAUCGCAGCUCAAGAAGUGUGUACGAGUUCCCACGGCAAUUAUUGAGCAAGAAGAGGUAUCGAUAGACCCGGAUCUUUCCUAUGUGGAGUACCCAAUCAAGAUUGUUGAUCGCAAGGAAAGGAAGACCCGGAACAAAUAAUGAGGAUGUUCAAAGUUCAGUGGAGUCAUCACACAGAAGCCGAAGCCACAUGGGAAACGGAGGAGUAUCUUAAUACCCACUUCCGUGGAUUUCUUUUCGAUCAGGGAGGUACGAUACCCAAGCCACACUAGUUCUUUUUCUUUCACUCGAAUCUCGGGGCGAGAUUCCUUUAAGGGGGGUAGGCUGUAGCAAACGAGCUAAAAUUUACCUUCUUUGAGCUUAAGUGAAGUCAUUAGAGCUUAAUGGAACCAAUGAACAGCCUUGCACCCAAGUAAAAUGACCCCUUUUGCCCCUCACAAGCUAAACACGUGUUCAAGCCAUAACUCAAUUUUUUGCUCAAAAACUUAAAAAUAUGCCUAACUAAGAGUUGUAUAACUCACAAAUUCUAACAACUUUUGUAAUUAGCUUUUUGCUUGAAACUGAUCAGAAAAGGGUCAAAAUAUUGAAUUACAAAUCUGGGCCGAAAGGUGCAGAUAAAAUAAAGUCAGAACUUUGGAGCCCUUUUUCUCACAUUUUCGAAUGUAUGCUAAUGACAAACCUUUUAUGAAAGUUUUAGUGCUACGAGUCCUUAACAACUUUGAUUUUUGAGCAUAGGCCAAAAUCUGCACGGAAGGUUUUUAAAAACGAGGUCAAACGCAGCUAAAAUGGUCAACACUGUCAAAAAUGGCUGAAGUGUUCAAGUCUGAAACUUUCGGAUUUUGCCAAACUUUGAAGCGUUUUAUCUUCAAUUCAGCUUCGAAUUUGAAAUCAAGACAAUUACAAGAAUUGAACUUAGAUCCUAGGCCUACAACUUUUGUAAAGGGAGUAGGGGUUGUGCAGUUCAAAAAUCUGGAGAAGAUCGCGCUCGAAGAUUGCCCUAUCGUCCGAUCCCGCAAAUCCCGCACCAGAGCUCACGCCGAGCACGCGUGCGCCGCGCUCCCCUCGCCGGCCGCGCCCUGCGACGCUCUGGCAUGCCACCGCCGCCGUGCCCACCAACGCACGCCCGAGACAAGACGCCACAGCUCCUCGGCCUCGCCUGCAGCGCCCUGAUGGAGCCGUUCACCCGUGCAUGCCUGCUUCGCCUGCAGCGCCCGCCUGCAAGUGCACCCGCCAAGUCACCUCCCAUGUCCGCCAAUGGCGCCCGCCGUGGCCGGUCCACCCCGCAGCAGUGUACUAGCGCCCCAUCCUCCAAACCACCCUCCUCCAGUCUCCUGCCUCCUUUCCAAGCCCCCGUGCCCUCCAACAGAAAGUUCUUGCCCCAAACCGGCAGCUCGAGAGGUUCCCGUUCCCAGACGAAAUCUGGCCAGCUCCCUCCGCCUCUGUCUAAUAGCCCACGCCUGAGGCUCCUCCACUUCCUCAGCCACACCCUCGGACACUCCUCGUCGCCUGCCAUCCACCCCAUCGCCCGGAAUCCCACUUUCCCCAACUCCAGGAACUCCACCCGCCACCCCCACUGCCUCACCGCGGAACACCAUCUUCCAGUCAUCCUCGUCGUCAACCAACCACUCAAACGGAACCGCGGUAAGACACUGAUCAUCAUGCUCGCGCUCGAUUUCCUCUGGGGUCAACUUUCCGCGCUCGUUCCGCUCAUGUCGACGGCGUUCCUCGCCGCCCGCGGAGCCCCUUCUGCGCCGCCCCGAUCCGCGUCUCUGGACCUGCUCCUGGGAGCCGUUGGCCCUGCUGCGCAGCCCCUCCUCGCCCCCAAGCCGCCCCGCUGCCCUCCCCCUACCGCCGCUGGCCCAAUCCCGAACGCCGGCCAAGCCUGCCUGAAUUUUGCUGUGCUGUGCGUUCUGUUCCAGAGGAAGAAGAAGGCCAGGGGUCUAGUUGCGAGUGGAAAAGAAAGUCAGGGGGUUAUGGGGAAAAUCGUGGGAUUUAUGUUUGAGGUGGGUUUUUGUCCAGGGGUGUAGGCGCAAGAUCCAGGGGCCCCUACGCAUUUAACCCAUAGACUGGAGGGCUAGAUUUGAAGAUUGCCUCGGUUUUCUUUUUCUUUUUUUUUCCCUAGAUCUAAAAAGGCUGAAAGUUUAAAAAGGCAUAGAAAAGUGUAGAAAAAUGCUAAAAAUGCAAGAUAAAUUUUGUUAGACUCAAUAUUCUGUGUAGUUUCGUAUAAAAAUAAGUUUACACAUGUCUCUGUUAGAAUUAAUGUUAUAUGAUUUAAUCCUUGUUUAAGCUAGUUUAAAUCAUAGCAAAUCACAGAAAAAUGCUAAAAAGGUAAAUCCAACUCUCAAGUGUUUGUUUCAGAGAAUAAAAGCUUAGAAAAAUGGUUUAGAGCCUAGCUUAGACAUUUAAGUUACUGUUUUAGUUUAUUAAUUGAAAUCUACGGGUAGAUUUUUCUUUUUGCAUAAUGAUAAAUCCAGAGAUGAUAAAAAUAUGAAACCACUUGGAAUAAUUCAGGAAUGAGGUGUAGUUCACAGGAUAAUUAUGAGACUUGGUUUGAAAGUUAAUGAAAACCUCUUUCCUUUUUAGAGAAAGAUAAAAAGGAAUAAUAUAUGAAAUGCCUUUCAGACUCUUGGUUUUGCAUGUUGAAUCAUUUGCACCUGCAUUUCAUGUAGAAGUUAACAUCGCCGACGGUACAUACGAGCUGCACCCGACGCCCGAAGAGGAAGCUGUAGCGGAUCUACACCACGCCGAAGUCGAGCCCGUGCUAGAGCAAGCCGAGGACCAGUUCGCUAAC